This is a non-coding RNA of Callithrix jacchus (white-tufted-ear marmoset), 8152 nucleotides long. The record is from RefSeq and is a predicted model, not a curated record. NCBI's taxonomy places the organism in Eukaryota, Metazoa, Chordata, Mammalia, Primates, Cebidae.
CUCUUGCAGAUGAGGAAGCAAAGGUUCAGAGUGGUACACAGACGAUCCCUCCAGACUCACAGACACAGACUGGACUGUCAUGGUCCAGAAAACCCUGCUCCAUCCUGGGUCCUGGGCCACAGCACAGCGUGCAGGAGAUGGGGAGUAAGGCACCAUCAAGAAAGAAGAAAAAACCUCGGAGGCCAGGCAGGGGCUCCUCUCUGUUCUCCACAUGUGGCUGUGGCGUGUUGAAUGCAGAAGUUUCACAGGCACGUACCAGACGCUGCAUUCUGGAAAUGGCUCUGGCCGUUGGUGCAUGUGAGGGCAGCUCCCGGAUUUUCCUGGUUACACACGAAGCCACUGUGAACACUUUUGCCAUGUCUCUUCUGCACGUGCUUGAUGAUUUCUGGAGGCUAGAAGAUCCCGUAGAAGGAGAAUUGCUGGGUCAAAGGGAGAGGAGACUUCAGGAGAACAUCUGUUCUGAGACCUCACUUCAGGACCUAGGAGUGACAUCCUCCAAACCCUGUCUGGGUUUCUGCUUCCCUGGAAUGGGCUUGGAGAAAGCAGAGGAGAUAGGACUGGGAAGCCUAGAACUCUGGGGCUACGAGGGAGCUCUGGCAGCAGGGACCCACUCCUCCAGGAAGCCUUCCCUGACCACCCCGGGCUGGGUCAUCACUUCUCUGUGCUACGCCUGAAACAACAAGAGUCCUAUUGUGCUCAUGCCUGUUUACAGCUGCCAGACUGGGACCUCCUGGAGGGCAUCAUUAGCAGAGCCAGCAAGAAAUGAAAGUCUCUAAAGCUGGCACUUGGCGUGUGCACACACAGGUGGGGUCCUGGGUCUCCCUCAGCCAGCUGGUGUCCCCCAAAGUGUACACCUAGGUGGGCCUUAUGUGCCAGCCUCUGUGUAUGUUGGCAUGCCUGUGGGAGGUGCAUGUACACGUGUGCACACAUGUGAAUAGCAGUUGGUAUGUCUGCAUGAAGGUCUGGAAGUGGAGUGGGCAUGUCUCUGUACAUGGAUGUGGGCACAUACCCAUGUACACCCACUGCAUGUUCACGCUCGUGUGUGUUCAAACAGUUGCAAGAGCGUUCCUGUGCACGGGUGUGUCCACAAGUGUGUGCCUUCAUACCGGGUGCAUGCCCUGUGUGCCAGGCCAGGCUGUAGGGUGGAAGUAUAGGGUACCAACUGCUACAUCUGGGGCCCACCCGGGAACUAAAAAUAGCCUGUGCCCAGUCCUGUCCCACUGGGCAGGGGGCAGCCAGGCAGGCCCCACGGGCACCGGAGCCAGGCUGUUGGCCUCCUCCCUUCUUGGGCUGCCGCCCUGCCUGCCCUGCCCCAUCCUGCCCCGCCUGGGGCUCCCAUGAGCUCAUGCACACCCUGCCCAACCAGGGCCGGGAGGGGGUGGGGAGGUCCAGAGUCGGGCCUGUGGGGCUGAGGCCCUGCCCACGUCCAGGCGGCUGGACACCAGCAAGGCCUGAUAAGGUCAAGUGUGGAGUAGGGUCCACCCCCUCCCUCCAGCCAGGGACAGCCGGGCGGACAUGAGUCAGCACAGGGGGCAUCAGGCAGCCCCGGGCCUGACCAGUGGCUGGUGAUGGGCAGGCCAGGGGCUGACCAGGAGGAAUCACCUGGCAGGUUGGCCAAGCCCCGACCUCGUUCACCACCUUGAGGAAGCCCAUUUCCACUUCCACCCAGAAAGCCCCUCUGAAGGCCCCCGCCUGGCUUCCUGCCCUGGCCUGGACAUUGCCGUGCCUCAGGAGGGCUGAUGGCCACCCCUACAGAAGGGCACUUCUGGGUUUAGCUGCAUGGCCCCAAGAGUUCCAGAUGCCCCUUCCUCCAGAAGGCCUCCCUGAUUCCCCAGGCUGGCUGGGGAGGGAGUGUCCUCUGAGAUCCCAGCUCCCACUUGGAGCCCCUCUCCUUGCAAAGUCAAAGCCUGUUUACUCGAGCCCAGACUAGAGCUUCUUGAGGGCCAGGAAGUGUCAUUUCCACCUCCGUUCACAUCUCGCUCCCUUGCAGGGCCCCCAGCACAGCCCAGGAAGGGUCAUUGUUGUCCUCCUUUACAGGGGAGGACUCCGAGGCCUGGCACAGAUGGUGACUGGCUCAUAGUCCCCAGCCAAGGGGUGGCCAGUGUGGAGGCUGUUCCCAACGUCCUGCUGUCCCCAUCCCUGUGCCACUGUGAUCCUUCCUCCUGGAGCCCCUGACCUCAGAGGCUCUGAUGACCCAGCCCAAGCACCCAUGACUGAGAUUUUUCGUUCUGUGAACCUGGUGCGUGGGCAGCUUGGGCUGGGCCUUCCCUGGAGCUCCGCUCCACAGGGCAAGCUGGGCAGGACCUGACAUGCUGAUCACAGCUGAGUGUCAGGGUGGAGUCACCCGCUGUGUCCUUUGCCCCCUGCAGGGUCCUGCCAAGAGGAGAGGAGAGGGCACCAGCUUGGCAUAGGGAGAGCUCUUUGUGAGGGAAGGACCAUGAUGCUCCAUUUAACAGAUGAGGACCCAGAGGCUCAGAGGGUGGGCGUGAUGUCCCUGAGGUCCCACAGUGAGGAACAGCCUGGGAGGUCUUAGGAAACACUCCCCCGUGCUCAUGGACACGCUUGUGGCACUGUGUGUCAUAGUGAAAGAGGAAAAGUGGUCCUGGACGCCUGCCAGUCCUCUGUGAGUGCUUCCACACAGAGGGACAGGCAAGAGGGGGCUGGAUCCAUGCUGAAUGGGUGGGGUCCCAGACCAGUGAGGAAGAACAAUUUCCAACACCUCGACACGGCUGGGCUUGGGGGCUCACGCCUGUAAUCCCAGAACUUUGGGAGGCCGAGGUGGGCGGAUCACCUGAGGUCAGGAGUUUGAGACCAGCCUGGCCAACAUGGUGACACCCCCUCUCUACUAAAAAUACAAGAAAUUAGCUGGGCAUGGUGGUGUGUGCCUGUAAUCCCAGCUACCUGGGAGGCUGAGGCAGGAGAAUCGCUUGAACCCAGGAGGUGGAGGUUGCAGUGAGCCGAGAUCUCAACAUUGCACUCCAGUCUGGGGGGACAAGAGCAAAACUCCAUCUAAACAAACAUACAAACAAAAAUUAGCCAGGCAUGGUGUUGCAUGACCGUGGUCCCCGCACUCAGGAAGCUGGGAUGGGAAGAUCACUUGAGCCUGGGAGGUUGAGGCUGCAGUCAGCCAUGAUUGUGCCACGGCACUCCAGCCUGGGUGGCAGAGUGACACUCAGUUCAAAACAAAACAAAACAAACGUAAAUUCAGAGGAAAGUGGUUUUGGGCCCACACUACAACUGCGUUCGUUUCCUAUUGCUGCUGGGAGGAACCACCACAAAUGUGGCGGCUGAAAAUAACACGGAAGUGUGCUCUUACAGCUCCGGGGGUCGGAAGUCUGAAAUGGGUCUCGAGGGCUGAAGUCAUGGUGCGGGCAGGGCCUAUGGCUUCAGGGGCUCGCCUUUGCCUUUCCAGCUCCUAGAGGCCGCCUGCAUGCCUUGGCUUGGGGCUCCUUCCACCCCUCAACGCCAGUGGCACAGCCUCUCCCGCUCCCUCCAACCCUGACGCUCGCUCUUCUGCCUCCCUCUUGCACAUCCAGGGAUUCUUGUGAUCAUGCUGGGCCCACCCAAAUCAUCCAGGAUGAUUAGCCAGGUGGCUGGACCUGGGGGCUCACGCCUGUAAUCUCAGCACUUUGGGAGGUUGAGGUGGGUGGAUCACCUGAGAUCAGGAGUUUGAGACCAGCCUGGUUUUAGGUUCAGGGUGCUGGCAACACAACACAGUGGGUAACACAACAGACACCAUCCUUGUCUCAUGGAAGACAGACAGUAAUUCACAUGUAGCUGUGACACGUCUGGAGGGUAGAUGCUGGGGAGCAAAGUGAAGCAGGGAAGGGGGAUGGAGAGCAGGGGGGGCCUCAUCUGCAUAGUAUGGCUCCUUUCCAAGGAGAACCCAUUUGCAUAUUUCUUCUUCCUUUUUGAGGUAGGAUCCCACUCUGUUGCCCAGGGUGGAGUGCCGGGGUAUAAUCUCUGCUCACUGCAGCCUCUGCCUCGUGGGUUCAAGGGAUUCUCUUGCUUCAGCCUCCUGAGUAGCUUAGAUUACAGGCCUGUGCCACCACGCCCGGCUAAUUUUUGUGUGUAUUUAUUUAUUUAUUGAGACAGAGUCUCACUCUGUUGCCCAGGCUGGAGUGCAGUGGUGUAAUCUUGGCUCACUACAACCUCUGCCUCCGGGGUUCAAGCAAUUAUCCUGCCUUAGUUUCCCAAGUAGCUGGAAUUACAGGCACCCACCACCACACCCAGCUAAUUUUUGUAUUUUUAGUAGAGACGGGGUUUCACCAUGUUGGCCAGGGUGGUCUCGAACUCCUGACUUCAUGUGAUCUGCCCACCUCGGCCCCCUAAAGUGCUGGGAUUACAGGCAUGAUCCACAGUGCCCGGCCCCAUUUGCAUAUUUCUUUUAUAACCCAAAGCAGGUCUAGGUGACUCUGAAUAACAGCACAGUUUAUCUUCCUGCCCACUGGCUGUGUGACUUUCACCUGAUGGUCUCAUCUGUCUGGUCUCCUCAUAGGAGGAGUCAGUGGGGUGCCAAACUCUUCCUGGCAAUGCUAUGAGAUGCCCAAGGGGACGCCUUGAGUUCUCUGGGGAUCCUACCUUCAAAUCCCACCUUGGGCAGGAAGUACUGAGGGAUUCCCAGAGACGGGCUCCAUGGGGAGGGGGUGCCUCCCCCAGCUGCAUCAGAAAUUCAGGGGUGGAAAUGCCUCUGGCUGGAGCCCAGAUGGUCUUUGCACCUUGAAUGGAGCCAUUUCUGGAAGGAAUCCAGCUGCUCCCAGCCCAGCUGAUAGGCAGGAGUGUGAUGGUGCCAUUAGAGCCAGAACUGCCCCACUAGCUCACCGGAGGGAACCAGAGAAUGAGCCUGGGGUCUGGGGCCUGGGUUGGGCUGUGACGGACCCCAGACUGUGGAUCCUCAGCUGAGACAUGGAAGGGACUGGGGAGGAGCAGAGGUGGACCUAGGACCUGGCCCCCAAACUCCAAAACAGCUUCCAUAACUUCUGGUUGUUGUGACUCAGUUUCCUCAUGUGUAGACAAGGAUUGUAACGCCCUUCUCUUCUGGGGUGGUUGUGCGGACCAAGUGUACUCAUCAUGCACACAGGAGUGGAUGGGAUUGGCAGGGUGGUCGGCACACAGGGGUCCCAUCCUGGCUUACUUCCCCUCCCUCAUUCUCUCCAGCUCCCAGGGAGCUGGCCCCGGGCCCCAGGGACACCCGCAAACACCCCUUCAGGUUCCAGGCUCAGAAUGAAUUGAGAGAACAUUAAAAACAAAUAAAACAACCAUUUACUUGCUGAAGAGCAAAUGCGUUUACACGUCCGCUCAUCAAAAUACUCAAAGGACGCGUAGUGAGAGAGGAGUUCUGCCACUCCGUCCCUGCACCGUUUCUUGAGUGUAUUUUUCCAGAGCUGCCCCAGGCGGGUACACGGGAAGAUGGAUUUGAAUUCUCUUCUCCGCCUUAAACACACCCUGUGCAUGGCGGGGCUCUUUUCUUGGAGAAUGGCAGGCAAUGCACAGAAACAGCUUCCUUGAGCUGCAGUGUAUGGGUGCGUGUUCCCUUGUUAUUUGACGACGCUGUAGAGGGAGGGUUUUGUUUGUUUUUUUGUUUGUUUUAAGUAAAGGAAUGGCUUCAUGGAAGUGUCCUUCCUCAAAUCUGGAAUUCAUAGACUCUGGCUUCAGUCUGGGCUUGGCUACUUACCAGGGACUGCCCGUGUUGCUUCCCCUGAGCCUCAGUGUUCUCAUCUGCAAGAUGGUGUUUGUGGCCAGGUGCGGUGGCCCACGCCACAAGCACCAUCAGUAUGUUCAGCACUUUGAGAGGCUAACGCACAAGGAUCAUUUGAGGCCAAGAGUUCAAGACCAGCCUGGGGCCAGCCGCAGUGACUCACACCUGUAAUCCCAACACUUUGGGAAGCUGAGGUAGGCGGAUCACCUGAGGUGAGGAGUUCGAGACCAGCCUUGGCCAACAUGGAGAAACCCCAUCUCUCUACUAAGAAUACAAAAAUUAGCCAGGUGUGGUGGUAGGCACAUGUAACUCCAGCUACUCGGGAGGCUGAGGCAGGAGAAUCGCUUGAAUCCAGAGGUUGCAGUGAGCCAAGAUCAUGCCACUGCACUCCAACCUGGGUGACAGAACGAGACUCUGUCUCAAAAAAAAAGACAAGCCCGCAAGACAUAGUGAGGCCCCAUGUCUACCCCUGACCUCCCCCCCGACACACCCCCAAAAAACAAACUUAGCUGGCCAUAAUGCUGUGUGCCUAUUGUCCCAGCUACUCAGGAAGCUGAGGUAGGAGAAUUCCUUGAGCUCCGGAGGGAGGGUCCUCAGGGAUUACAAACUCGUGGGAGUGGGGGUGGGGUGAUGUGGGACCAAGGAGGUAUGAGGACCCCCCAGCCCCGCAGCCUGGAAGAACUGAGCCCUGAUUCCUAUUUUUCUCUGCCUCUGUUUCACUCUGAGAUCUUGGGCAGGACACUUCUACCCUGGGCUGUCAUGAGCUAUGAUCAUGCCACCAUAUUCCAGCCUGGGUGACAGAGCGAGACCCUAUCUCUACCAAAAAUAAACAAAGUAAAAGAUAAGAUGAGAAAGGUGGUGGUUGUACCGUCUCAGAGAUAAUGUUGCUUAUAGCAGCCUGCCUGCUGUACCCUGUUUGUGGAUGUGUUUUGCUCAUAAAACUUUCCAAACUCUGGAGAUUUCAAAUUAUAACCCAGAUUUCUGGCUUCUCCUGAAAAAUAAAAAGUCUGGUCAUUGCUGGCUGGAGCCAUGUAGCCACUGCCCACUUCGGAAGGGCCAGGGGUGCUCCAUCUGGCCUCAGACCCCACCACUCCCUACUGCUCAUGCACAUCCCCCAACCUGGUAGUCUUUGCAGAAGGGUGUGCUGGGGUUAAGCUCACGCAAACAGAAUGGGCAGGGUCCCCAGCACUCAACACAGCCCAGCCUCACUCUCUUGCCAGAUACUUGGGGUAUCUGGGACUUGGUAGCCAGAGCCAUGGACUAUCCAGUCCUGGAAACCCAAGCAAGUGGCCCCAGAGUGUCUCCUCCACCAGAAGGGAAGCUGAGAUGCCAGCACCAUGUCCAGGAAGGGUUCUGGGCGGCAAGCCAGGCGGCUUCAUCCCGGGAGGUGGCAGCCAAGGCUUCUUCCCUAGGCCGGAGCCGGAAGCCAGGCUCCAGGCACCUGGAGUUCCCAUCUCCGGGUCCCCAGGUUGUCCAUUCCUACGCACAGCCCCCCACGCCUUCCUCUUCCCUACCUACCUUUGGCAGCCACAUCCUGCCUUUCAGGGGUGGACCAGGACUGAUGGGGAGACAGGGAUGUGGGUGGGGUCCUAGGAGGACCUUGGGGACAUCCUCUCUUCAGGGUGGUUGCAAUCUCUUCUUAGCCCCAGGGUGCCUUGGAGCACAAUUUGAAAACCACUGAAGGAACCCUUUUGCUAGAUGGGAAAACAGAGGCCUGCAGUGGGGAGGGGUAGGAGGAUCAGAGGCCUGAGGACCUAGAGUCCCCCCUCCCCAAGUCUUCUGCAGAGCCCUGGCAUGUGGAAUUGAAGCUCACUGAGCCCCCAGCCAGCCUCCCUGGGAAGGCUGCCCCUGACCCUGCUCUUGUCUGUCCAGAAGGCCAGAGAAGUACUGGGGCUCCGACUUCUCCAAAACUCACUUUGCCUUUUUUGCCAAAUGCCCACCCUAUGGGGUCAUUGUGAGGAGUGAAAGAGAGACAGUGCCGAUAGCAAGAAGAAGACCCACAGUAGCUCCUGCCUCCUGGGCUUGAACCGAGGGCUGUCCAGCCUCGACUUGGACGAGUCCAUUUUUUGCAGCGCUUUCUUGAAAGACAAUUUACAUACCCUGAAAUUCACCCACUUAAAGUAUAUGAGUCAAUGGUUUUGAGUAUAUUUACAGAGUUGUACAACCAUGGCCACAAUCUAAUUUUAGAACAUUUACAUCAUCCCCCAAAGAAACCCAACACCCAUCAGCAGCCACUCCCUGUUCCCCUCCUCCAGUCCCUGGAACACUGCUCUGCUUUCUGUCUCUAGAGAGUUCUCUGUUCUGGAUGUUUUAUAUAAAUGGAAUCAUAUAAUAAUGUGUAGCCAUUUGUGACUAGCUUCUUUCAGUGAGUGUCAAGUUGUGGUAUGUGUCAGUCCUUCAUUCCUUGUUGUUAUUUCUUCCAGUAGAGCAGCCGGGAGCAACAUUCCUUUUUCA